This 423-nucleotide ribosomal RNA is filed under the name uncultured bacterium. Its description in RNAcentral is "partial 16S ribosomal RNA". It matches the Rfam family "Bacterial small subunit ribosomal RNA", at positions 359 to 776 of the family's 1533-position model. The record is from RNAcentral.
GUUCAGGACAAUGGUCGCAAGCCUGAUCCAGCAAUGCCGCGUGCAGGAUGAAGGCCUUCUGGAUGUAAACUGCGUUUGUACGGAACGUAAAGACCUGGGUAAAUACCCUGGGAUCAUGACGGUACCAAAAGAAUAAGCACACGCUAACGAAGAUCCCGCAUCCGCGGUAAUACGUAGGGUGCAAGCGUUAAUCGGAAUUACUGGGCGUAAAGCGUGCGCAGGCGGUUUUGUAAGACAGUGGUGAAAUCCCCGGGCUCAACCUGGGAACUGCCAUUGUGACUGCAAGGCUGGAGUGCGGCAGAGGGGGAUGGAAUUCCGCGUGUAGCAGUGAAAUGCGUAGAUAUGCGGAGGAACACCGAUGGCGAAGGCAAUCCCCUGGGCCUGCACUGACGCUCAUGCACGAAAGCGUGGGGAGCAAACAGG